CAUGCAAGUCGAGCGGGGUUAUUAGGAGCUUGCUCCUGAUAACCUAGCGGCGGACGGGUGAGUAACGCGUGGGUAACCUGCCUCAUAGAGGGGAAUAACAUUGGGAAACCAGUGCUAAUACCGCAUAAAACGUAAGUAUCGCAUGAUACAAACGUUAAAGGAGUAAUUCGCUAUGAGAUGGACCCGCGUCCGAUUAGCUAGUUGGUAGGGUAAUGGCUUACCAAGGCGACGAUCGGUAGCCGAACUGAGAGGUUGAUCGGCCACAAUGGGACUGAGACACGGCCCAUACUCCUACGGGAGGCAGCAGUGGGGAAUAUUGCGCAAUGGGGGAAACCCUGACGCAGCGACGCCGCGUGGAGGAUGAAGGUUUUUGGAUUGUAAACUCCUGUCAACGGGGAAGAAAAUGACGGUACCCGUGGAGGAAGCCCCGGCUAACUACGUGCCAGCAGCCGCGGUAAUACGUAGGGGGCAAGCGUUGUCCGGAAUUAUUGGGUGUAAAGGGCGUGUAGGCGGGAUUUUAAGUCAGUUGUGAAAACCCAAGGCUCAACCUUGGGAUUGCAUCUGAAACUAGGAUUCUUGAGUGCAGUAGAGGUAAGCGGAAUUCCUAGUGUAGCAGUGAAAUGCGUAGAUAUUAGGAGGAACACCAGUGGCGAAGGCGGCUUACUGGGCUGUAACUGACGCUGAGGCGCGAAAGCGUGGGGAGCAAACAGGAUUAGAUACCCUGGUAGUCCACGCCGUAAACGAUGGAUACUAGGUGUAGGAGGUAUCGACCCCUUCUGUGCCGGAGUUAACACAAUAAGUAUCCCACCUGGGGAGUACGACCGCAAGGUUGAAACUCAAAGGAAUUGACGGGGGCCCGCACAAGCAGUGGAGUAUGUGGUUUAAUUCGAAGCAACGCGAAGAACCUUACCAGAACUUGACAUCCCUUGAAGUACUAUGAGAGUAGUAUGACCUUCGGGACAAGGAGACAGGAGGUGCAUGGUUGUCGUCAGCUCGUGUCGUGAGAUGUUGGGUUAAGUCCCGCAACGAGCGCAACCCCUAUUGUUAGUUGCCAGCAUGUAAAGAUGGGAACUCUAGCGAGACUGCCGUUAAUAAAACGGAGGAAGGUGGGGACGACGUCAAAUCAUCAUGCCCCUUACGUUCUGGGCUACACACGUACUACAAUGGCUGUUACAGAGGGGAGCGAAGCAGUAAUGUGGAGCAAAUCCCAAAAAACGGUCCCAGUUCGGAUCGAGGGCUGAAACUCGCCCUCGUGAAGUUGGAAUUGCUAGUAAUGGCAGAUCAGCAUGCUGCCGUGAAUACGUUCCCGGGCCUUGUACACACCGCCCGUCCACCAUGAAAGUUGGGAAUACCCGAAGCCUGUGAGCCGACCGCAAGGGAGCAGCAGUCGAAGGUAGGUCUAGCGAUUGGGGUGAAGUCGAAACAAGGUA
RNAcentral lists this ribosomal RNA (1430 nucleotides) under metagenome. Its description in RNAcentral is "bacterial SSU rRNA". It matches the Rfam family "Bacterial small subunit ribosomal RNA". The record is from RNAcentral.